RNAcentral lists this unclassified non-coding RNA (3604 nucleotides) under Haliotis rufescens (red abalone). Its description in RNAcentral is "pyridine nucleotide-disulfide oxidoreductase domain- containing protein 1-like, transcript variant X1". The record is from RNAcentral. Lineage: Eukaryota; Metazoa; Mollusca; Gastropoda; Lepetellida; Haliotidae.
UUCCUACAUCGACAGCCAGUUUGGUGGGUGACGAAGGUGUCACGCGCUGGGAAGGAAAUGAAGGAUUAUCUCCCCUGAAUGUUCGUCUUGCGUUUGUGGAUAUGGAAACAUAUACUUUUGCAGUUGUUGGAGGAGGAAUAGCUGGAAUUUCCUGUGCCGAGACGUUGUCUGCAUUGUGCCCAGAUGAGAGAGUGUUGCUUGUUACUGCCAGUGAUCUUGUCAAGGCUGUAACCAACUACCAGAAGCUAUCUCGAACCUUGGAGACAUUUGAUGUAGAAGAGAAGCCCUCAAGCUCUGUGGAGGCUGACUGUCCCAAUGUGCAGGUUCACAAGUCUACAGUCACAUCGCUGGAUGCUGUCAGACAUGAACUACGAUGUGCUGAUGGGCGGACUGUCCAGUAUGACAAGCUGUGUAUAUGCUCUGGAGGAAAACCAAAGGUGAUCAGUAAUGGCAACAAGCAUGUCAUUGGCAUUAGGGAUACAGAGAGCGUGAAGGUGUUCCAACAAAGACUUACUGCUGCAAGACGGAUUGUAGUGGUUGGCAAUGGAGGCAUCGCAACAGAACUGGUCUAUGAGAUAGAGGGAUGUGAGGUGGUAUGGGCCAUCAAGGACAAGUCCAUAGCUUCAACAUUCAUAGAUGCAGGUGCUGCUGAGUUCUUCCUGCCGCAGCUCAACCAAGACAAGCCUGACAGCAGUGGCCCAGUGAAGAGACUCAAGUACAUGCCAGAAGGGCACACAGUUAGCAAGAAGACAUCUGAUGACAGACCACAUGGUGGAGCUCUUGGGCCUGACUGGGCAAGCAGUAGAAAGAUGGCUGGUGCAGGGCAGGUGUGUCACAGCAUCCAUGUGGAAUAUAAUGUGGAGGUGCAUCACGUGUUAGAUGGAACAGAGAUGACGACUUAUGGAUAUUCAGCUUCAGAACCUUUCAAGGCUCCACAGUCACAUGUUUCAGACAGUUGGCCAGUGUAUGUUCGUCUCAGCAAUGGGAAAGUUUAUGGUUGUGAUUUCAUCGUCAGUGCAACGGGCGUAGUCCCCAACACACAGCCAUUUGUUGGUGACAAUUUGCUAUCAGUGUCCCCUGAUGGAGGUAUUGAAGUUAACAGUUGUAUGGAAACCUCUGCUACUGAUGUAUAUGCUGCUGGUGAUGUGUGCACAGCAUCAUGGGAACACUCCAAGCACUGGCUCCAGGUUCGACUGUGGUCCCAGGCCAGACAGAUGGGGUGCUUUGCUGCUCAGAGCAUGGCUGCAGCAGUGAGAGGAGAGAAGAUUACACCAGACUUCUGCUUUGAGCUGUUUGCUCAUGUCACUAAAUUUUUCAAUUAUAAGGUGGUACUACUUGGCAAGUUCAAUGCACAAGGACUUGAUGCAGGGCAUGAGCUGCUUCUCAGGGUUACUGAAGGUAAGGAAUAUGUUAAGGUGAUUAUACAAGAUGGCUGCAUGAAAGGAGCUAUCUUAAUAGGUGAGACGGAUCUGGAGGAGACCUUUGAGAACCUGAUACUUAAUGGGAUGGACUUGACCCCAUUUAAGGAACACCUUUUGGACCCCAACAUUGAUAUAGAUGACUUCUUUGAUUGACUCUCUCCAUCAGGGCAUUUUUAGUAACUGUGAUGCAACAAAAUAACAAUGUGACUGUAUAUAGAGGUGUCAAGUGCGAUGGAGACUGUAUACACAGGUGUCAAAUGUGAUGGAGACUGUAUACACAGGUGUCAAAUGCGAUGGAACUGUAUACACAGGUGUCAAAUGUGAUAGAGAGUGUAUACACAGGUGUCAAGUGUGAUGGAAACUGUAUACACAGGUGUCAAGUGUGAUGGAGACUGUAUACACAGGUGUCAAAUGUAAUGGAGACUGUAUACACAGGUGUCAAGUGUGAUGGAGACUGUCUGUAUACACGUGUCAAAUGCGAUGGAAACUGUAUACACAGGUGCCAGGUGUGAUUGAGACUGUAUACACAGGUGUCAAGUGUGAUGGAGACUCUGUAUACACAGGUGCCAGGUGUGAUGGAGACUAUACACAGAUGUCAAGUGCAAUGGAGACUGUAUACACAGGUGUCAAGUGUGAUGGAAACUGUAUACACAGGUGCCAGGUGUGAUGGAGACUAUACACAGGUGCCAGGUGUGAUGGAGACUGUAUACACAGGUGCCAGGUGUGAUGGAGACUAUACACAGGUGCCAGGUGUGAUGGAGACUAUACACAGGCGCCAGGUGUGAUGGAGACUAUACACAGGUGUCAAGUGUGAUGGAGACUAUACACAGGUGCCAGGUGUGAUGGAGACUAUACACAGGUGUCAAGUGUGAUGGAGACUGUAUACACAGGUGUCAAGUGUGAUAGAGACUAUACACAGGUGUCAAAUGUGAUGGAGACUAUACACAGGUGUCAAGUGUGAUGGAGACUAUACACAGGUGUCAAAUGUGAUGGAGACUAUACACAGGCGCCAGGUGUGAUGGAGACUAUACACAGGUGUCAAGUGUGAUGGAGACUAUACACAGGUGCCAGGUGUGAUGGAGACUGUAUACACAGGUGCCAGGUGUGAUGGAGACUGUAUACACAGGUGCCAGGUGUGAUGGAGACUGUAUACACAGGUGCCAGGUGUGAUGGAGACUAUACACAGGUGUCAAGUGUGAUGGAGACUAUACACAGGUGCCAGGUGUGAUGGAGACUGUAUACACAGGUGUCAAGUGUGAUGGAGACUAUACACAGGUGUCAAGUGUGAUGGAGACUAUACACAGGUGCCAGGUGUGAUGGAAACUGUAUACACAGGUGUCAAGUGUGAUGGAGACUGUCUGUAUACACAGGCGCCAGGUGUGAUGGAGACUAUACACAGGUGUCAAGUGCAAUGGAGACUAUAUACACAGGUGUCAAGUGUGAUGGAGACUGUAUACACAGGUGUGUGUGUGUGGGGGGGGGGGGGGAUGUCAUCUCCUGAUGACUUUGUUAAUAACAGGUCGAAUCUACAUGUAACGUUAAAAACCUAUAAUUUUUUUACUCUGUCAGAGGCAAUUGAUCUUAACAGGAGACACAACUUUGUUAUAAUACCAUUAAUGGCAUCGGUUAAUCCAGUUACCGACUUCUCACUACUUAGUAUAUAUACAGUGAGAGAAAAGAUGGAAGAGAAACUUGGUCAGUAAAAAAUCUACAUUAGAGGCUAUUGUCAAAAAAUUCAUAAAUCAAGAAUAAAAGCUUUUUGGUGCAAAGAAUUGCAAAACUCCAGGAACAAUGUAUGACUUUUGUAAAUUAUUCAGCCCACACUUGGCUGGUGUAAACAGGGAAACUCAACCUAAAUAAGAUGAUGUUUAAGUAUGUUAUGACUUUAAUAAUAAAAAUAUAAAUUGUGGAGUCCUUAACAUACCUAUUUCAAGGUUGGAAAGUCUUCAGUGCUGUCCAGGCCAUGAAGCUGAAUAACACUGCAGGAAUUGACCAGAUACAGGCAGAAGUGUUGAAGAACAAUUCGAGUGUUGAUGUUUGACAGCGAAUGUUUAAACUGUUUUCAAUAAAGGACCCCAAAACAAGGUGCAUCCUUUAGGCCUUAUUUGGCCUGAAUUAUAUUUGUGACCAUAGUGUAUAUAAUUGUAAACAUGACACUGUAAUAAACUAUAUUAUUAUUAUUA